GAAAUUAAUGCUAUUGUUUGCUGGAUGUCAUCAGUCAUCUAUUCUCUCACUCUCAUCACAUUCAUCUAUUCUUCACUCCAUUAAAUACAACACAACGGCUCUUUUAAGAGCCAUCAUUAGCUAAAAUCUCACUCAAUUUCUCUCUCUCUCUCUCACUCUCUCUCUCAUACUCAUCUUCU
Molecule: long non-coding RNA, 179 nt
Organism: Danio rerio (zebrafish)
Lineage: Eukaryota; Metazoa; Chordata; Actinopteri; Cypriniformes; Danionidae
Source: Ensembl